This 647-nucleotide long non-coding RNA is filed under the name Nicotiana tabacum (common tobacco). RNAcentral's name for it is "long non-coding RNA (NTAB_LNC015267)". The record is from RNAcentral. Lineage: Eukaryota; Viridiplantae; Streptophyta; Magnoliopsida; Solanales; Solanaceae.
AACGAAUAAACAUAAUCUUCAACCAAAAGUAACUCUCUGGCUUCUCUUAUAUUCUAUGUUUAUUUAACAAUAUUUAUUUAUUAAUUAUUAUUGGGUUUGGUUUCUUUUCGUUUACGAUCCCUUCUCAGAAACUGUCUCCAAAUCUCCUACAAAUUGUUCUUUUUUAUAAUUUAAAUUCCACCGUUGAAAACGCCAUUAAUGACUUGUUUAUAGCAACCCUCGCACUAAACUAUAUGUAUUAUUUACAUUUUUCAAACUUUCUUUCGCCUUCUUUUCUGCUCUUAUGUUGACAUAAAUACAUAUCUUAUAAUCUGAAUCUCAAUAUAAAAUACCAUCUUCUAUAUUUCUUUUUUUUCUAACAAAAAACUAGCUUCAUCUUUUUCCAGCUUCAUUGCAAUUUGCAGCCAUGAAAACAGAGCGAAAAAUACCAAAGGUAACAAUUUUUUAUGUUAUUAAUGUUUUUUCCCUUUGUUGGGUUUCAGUUGAAUAUAUGUAUUAUAUGUAUGUAUAUUUUUAUACACACAAUAGUGGUGUAACUGUGUGUUCUUGAAUGAAUACUGAUGAGUUGAUUUUGACUUUUUUUCUUGCAGUCUUCGUGGACUAAAGUGGUUGUUAGGAAAUGGUUGAAUAUGAAAAACAAAUCGGAG